Molecule: ribosomal RNA, 553 nt
Filed under: uncultured bacterium
Lineage: Bacteria
Description: bacterial SSU rRNA
Rfam family: Archaeal small subunit ribosomal RNA
Source: RNAcentral
AAUAGAUACCCGGUAGUCCUAGCCGUAAACGAUACUCGCUGGGUGUCGGCCACGGUGCGACCGUUGUCGGUGCCGUAGGGAAGCCGUGAAGCGAGCCACCUGGGAAGUACGGCCGCAAGGCUGAAACUUAAAGGAAUUGGCGGGGGAGCACCACAACGGGUGGAGCUUGCGGUUUAAUUGGAUUCAACGCCGGAAAUCUUACCGGGACCGACAGCAAUAUGAAGGCCAGGCUGAAGACUUUGCCGGAUUAGCUGAGAGGUGGUGCAUGGCCGUCGUCAGUUCGUACUGUGAAGCAUCCUGUUAAGUCAGGCAACGAGCGAGACCCACGCCCACAGUUGCCAACGUACUCUCUGGAGUGACGGGUACACUGUGGGGACCGCCGCUGCUAAAGCGGAGGAAGGAAUGGGCAACGGUAGGUCAGUAUGCCCCGAAUAUCCCGGGCUACACGCGAGCUACAAUGGUUGGUACAAUGGGUAUCUACCCCGAAAGGGGACGGGAAUCUCCUAAAACCAAUCUUAGUUCGGAUUGAGGGCUGCAACUCGCCCUCAUGAAG